RNAcentral lists this transfer RNA (34 nucleotides) under Odorrana chapaensis (Chapa torrent frog). Its description in RNAcentral is "partial tRNA-Arg". Lineage: Eukaryota; Metazoa; Chordata; Amphibia; Anura; Ranidae. The record is from RNAcentral.
ACUUCAAGGAGGCCUCGAGUGAGCCGAAUGAGGA